GAUGAAGAACGUAGCGAAAUGCGAUAAGUAGUGUGAAUUGCAGAAUCCGUGAGUCAUCGAAUCUUUGAACGCACAUUGCGCCCUCUGGUAUUCCGGAGGGCAUGCCUGUUCGAGCGUCAUUAUCACCCCUCAAGCCCGGCUUGUUGUUGGAUGCAGCGCUUAUCCCGCUCCUCCCAAAGAUAAUGACGGCGUCUGCGACGACUCCUGUACACUGAGCUUUCGGGCACGUACACGGCUAGAAGUCCAGACCCGGUCGCCGUCCCCCCCCGCGGGGGACACCCAUUACCACAAGGUUGACCCCGGAUCAGGUAGGAAUACCCGCUGAACUUAAGCAUAUCAAUAAGCGGAGGA
Molecule: unclassified non-coding RNA, 351 nt
Filed under: soil metagenome
Description: partial contains 5.8S ribosomal RNA, internal transcribed spacer 2, and large subunit ribosomal RNA
Rfam family: 5.8S ribosomal RNA (bases 1-119)
Source: RNAcentral